GCGCCUGUAGCUCAGUUGGAUAGAGCGGCUGACUACGAAUCAGCAGGUCGGGGGUUCGAAUCCCUCCGGGCGCACCA
This 77-nucleotide transfer RNA is filed under the name Occallatibacter sp. RNAcentral describes it as "tRNA-Arg". It matches the Rfam family "tRNA". Rfam says of the family: Transfer RNA (tRNA) molecules are approximately 80 nucleotides in length. Lineage: Bacteria; Pseudomonadati; Acidobacteriota; Terriglobia; Terriglobales; Acidobacteriaceae. The record is from RNAcentral.